This 510-nucleotide ribosomal RNA is filed under the name uncultured bacterium. RNAcentral describes it as "partial 16S ribosomal RNA". It matches the Rfam family "Bacterial small subunit ribosomal RNA", at positions 28 to 507 of the family's 1533-position model. The record is from RNAcentral.
GACGAACGCUGGCGGCGUGCUUAACACAUGCAAGUCGAACGAAGAGCGAUGGAAGCUUGCUUCUAUCAAUCUUAGUGGCGAACGGGUGAGUAACGCGUAAUCAACCUGCCCUUCAGAGGGGGACAACAGUUGGAAACGACUGCUAAUACCGCAUACGAUCUAAUCUCGGCAUCGAGGAAAGAUGAAAGGUGGCCUCUAUUUAUAGGCUAUCACUGAAGGAGGGGAUUGCGUCUGAUUAGCUAGUUGGAGGGGUAACGGCCCACCAAGGCGAUGAUCAGUAGCCGGUCUGAGAGGAUGAACGGCCACAUUGGGACUGAGACACGGCCCAGACUCCUACGGGAGGCAGCAGUGGGGAAUCUUCCGCAAUGGACGAAAGUCUGACGGAGCAACGCCGCGUGGGUGAUGACGGCCUUCGGGUUGUAAAGCUCUGUUAAUCGGGACGAAAGGCCUUCUUGCGAACAGUUAGAAGGAUUGACGGUACCGGAAUAGAAAGCCACGGCUAACUACGUG